Molecule: long non-coding RNA, 247 nt
Filed under: Ananas comosus (pineapple)
Lineage: Eukaryota; Viridiplantae; Streptophyta; Magnoliopsida; Poales; Bromeliaceae
Description: long non-coding RNA (ACOM_LNC025803)
Source: RNAcentral
AUGUUGAAUGUUUAUAAUUAUUCAUAUUACUAUAUACUAAUCCUAGUGGUAUUUGGAAGAAAUUCUACCGUUGGAUAUUACUAAUCCGAAAUUGAUAAAAUUGAUAUUCACAAUGUGAAAAUGCUAUCGGAGUUCAAAUCCACGUGGAAUAUUCUAGUGUUGUAGCAUUUAGAAUUAUUUGCAUCUAUAUCCCUAUAAAAAAUAAAAUUAAAUAUUAACUCUUACAACAUUUUAUUUAUUAAAUACA